This 256-nucleotide RNase P RNA is filed under the name Prevotella sp. RNAcentral's name for it is "partial RNase P RNA component class A". It matches the Rfam family "Bacterial RNase P class A", at positions 1 to 271 of the family's 367-position model. From Rfam's summary of the family: Ribonuclease P (RNase P) is a ubiquitous endoribonuclease, found in archaea, bacteria and eukarya as well as chloroplasts and mitochondria. Its best characterised activity is the generation of mature 5'-ends of tRNAs by cleaving the 5'-leader elements of precursor-tRNAs. Cellular RNase Ps are ribonucleoproteins. The record is from RNAcentral. Lineage: Bacteria; Pseudomonadati; Bacteroidota; Bacteroidia; Bacteroidales; Prevotellaceae.
GCACUGCUCCGGCCUGUCGCUGGUACCCAGAGUACGAGAGGAAAGUCCGGGCAGUAUAGGGCACCCCACUUCUGAAAAUGGAAGCUAUUGGUGACAGUAGGUGCCGGCAGAAGAAAAUAACCGCCCCUGGAGUGGGCAAGGGUGAGAAGGUGGUGUAAGAGACCACCAGCUGAUGGGUGAUCAUCAGGCUGUGCCGACUGGGGACUGCAAGUUCAUGUAUACCGUCGUCUGAGGGUUGCCCGCCCGAGUAAACGAU